Long non-coding RNA from Armigeres subalbatus, 182 nucleotides. RefSeq lists it as uncharacterized. Lineage: Eukaryota; Metazoa; Arthropoda; Insecta; Diptera; Culicidae. The transcript has 3 exons. The record is from RefSeq and is a predicted model, not a curated record.
CGAAGAAGGAGAAAAUUCUUUUCUGUUCGACCUUUCAAGGAAGCAGUGCGCGACGUGUCUAAUAAUUUAAAAUUUUUGAUAAUAUUCGAAAGCUAUAAAAGUAACUAUAACUAAUAGUACGGUCAGUGCUAACUACGAAAAGUUAGUCCGUACGUACAACAGUGUGUGCCAACGAAAAACCG